Non-coding RNA from Triticum aestivum (bread wheat), 125 nucleotides. The record is from Rfam. Lineage: Eukaryota; Viridiplantae; Streptophyta; Magnoliopsida; Poales; Poaceae.
AAUAUACUCCCUCCGUCCGGAAAUACUUGUCGGAGGAAAGGAUGUAUCUAGACAUAUUUUAGUGUUAGAUAGAUCUAUUUUUAGUCAUUUCUACAACAAGUAUUUCCGGACGGAUGGAGUAUAAC